RNAcentral lists this ribosomal RNA (303 nucleotides) under uncultured bacterium. Its description in RNAcentral is "partial 16S ribosomal RNA". It matches the Rfam family "Bacterial small subunit ribosomal RNA", at positions 507 to 809 of the family's 1533-position model. The record is from RNAcentral.
AGCAGUCGCCGCGGGAAUACGUAGGGUGCGAGCGUUAAUCGGAAUUACUGGGCGUAAAGCGUGCGCAGGCGGUUUUGUAAGACAGGCGUGAAAUCCCCGGGCUCAACCUGGGAAUGGCGCUUGUGACUGCAAAGCUAGAGUGCGGCAGAGGGGGAUGGAAUUCCGCGUGUAGCAGUGAAAUGCGUAGAUAUGCGGAGGAACACCGAUGGCGAAGGCAAUCCCCUGGGCCUGCACUGACGCUCAUGCACGAAAGCGUGGGGAGCAAACAGGAUUAGAUACCCCCGUAGUCCCUGUCUCUUAUAA